This 58-nucleotide microRNA precursor is filed under the name Sarcophilus harrisii (Tasmanian devil). RNAcentral's name for it is "Sha-Mir-1397_pre stem-loop". RNAcentral also lists the same sequence under 1 other name. Lineage: Eukaryota; Metazoa; Chordata; Mammalia; Dasyuromorphia; Dasyuridae. The record is from RNAcentral.
UGCAUUGCGACGGGUUACAUCACUGAAUUUAGCAUGAUGUAACCCAACGCAGCAUGAU